Molecule: long non-coding RNA, 595 nt
Filed under: Marmota monax (woodchuck)
Lineage: Eukaryota; Metazoa; Chordata; Mammalia; Rodentia; Sciuridae
Source: RNAcentral
CGCGUAAGGACCCGGCGUCCUGAGUUUCCUAGGCUUGGAGCACGGGUCCCCGGUUUCUCCACCAGGCGAAAGCAAGAAACCAUCAUAACUAUUACUAGUCCUCUCCCGCGCUUAGUGGCCUGGACAACCCUGUCCUAAACGAGGGGAAAGCGAUCAGCAAUAUUAAUGAUUUGCAGGUUGUUAUGAAACAGCCAGUACUGAAUCCUUUGACAAAAUUUUGCUGACGAGGACAUUACAUUGAAUUUUGCUUGUUGCGAGAUGAAAAUGCUCCGAGGACAGGUACCUUGCCUUAAAUGUGGCAUUCUACACAUUAAACAGAUUCAGUAAAUGUUAAGGAAUGAAAACUUGGCUAUAUUCCGGUUAUGUCCAGAGCAGAAAGGUCAGAUGAAGGGGGCGGCGGGGGGAUUCCCAUUAGCUUUAUUUGGACCACAUGGCAGAGUGCAACGUAGUGGUGUAACUAAUAGCCUGCCUAACCGGCAUCCCUGUUUGUUGGCGCUCUCCCCUAUUUAGUCCACUUCCACGGUUGUUUGCAAGAGCUUCCCGUAGUAUAAACUAUACAGUUUCAGCCUAUUUAAAAUCCAGUCCUAAUCGCCCA